CUUGGUUCCGCUGUUGACGUUAAAGCUCGUGACGAGGAAUUUCAGUGCACUCCGAAGACUACACUUUUGCAAGCUUGUUAUUUUUCUGUGACGUACAUAAACAACAUGGCCUUCGUGUGACUUUCGAGGCCGGGGCAAGCUAAACGCAAAUGAACGCGGAAUCCGAAAUGUCGAGAGGAAAGUGCAUGGAACCACCACCAGCUCAAAGUAAAUUUCAUCUCCCGGCUUCAGAAGGUGGAAUAGGAGCAGAGGUGUAAGAACUUGUGGGUGUUAUGAAACUCCGCGCGUCUGUUAUUGUUGACACUGGAUUAAGACUUGGCCUUUACAAGAUACUACGAAAGCAAAAUUAAUUUCACCAGAAUUCGAAGGCCCAAGGAACGUUCCUUACCGAUAAGUGCGCGAAGUUAUUACAAAAGCUCUA
Molecule: non-coding RNA, 421 nt
Organism: Zootermopsis nevadensis
Lineage: Eukaryota; Metazoa; Arthropoda; Insecta; Blattodea; Termopsidae
Source: RefSeq, a predicted model, not a curated record